AGGCGUGUGGCUCAGUUGGCAGAGCGUUCGCUUAGCAUGCCAUAGUAUAUGCGAACGGUCCUGGGUUCGAUUCCCAGCCCGUCCA
Molecule: non-coding RNA, 85 nt
Organism: Lasiosphaeria ovina
Lineage: Eukaryota; Fungi; Ascomycota; Sordariomycetes; Sordariales; Lasiosphaeriaceae
Source: the annotation of a GenBank genome assembly